AGCGAACGCUGGCGGCAGGCCUAACACAUGCAAGUCGAACGAACUCUUCGGAGUUAGUGGCGGACGGGUGAGUAACACGUGGGAACGUGCCUUUUGGUUCGGAAUAACUCAGGGAAACUUGUGCUAAUACCGAAUGUGCCCUUCGGGGGAAAGAUUUAUCGCCAUUAGAGCGGCCCGCGUCUGAUUAGCUAGUUGGUGAGGUAACGGCUCACCAAGGCGACGUUCAGUAGCUGGUCUGAGAGGAUGACCAGCCACACUGGGACUGAGACACGGCCCAGACUCCUACGGGAGGCAGCAGUGGGGAAUCUUGCGCAAUGGGCGAAAGCCUGACGCAGCCAUGCCGCGUGAAUGAUGAAGGUCUUAGGAUUGUAAAAUUCUUUCACCGGGGACGAUAAUGACGGUACCCGGAGAAGAAGCCCCGGCUAACUUCGUG
RNAcentral lists this ribosomal RNA (433 nucleotides) under uncultured bacterium. RNAcentral describes it as "partial 16S ribosomal RNA". It matches the Rfam family "Bacterial small subunit ribosomal RNA", at positions 29 to 507 of the family's 1533-position model. The record is from RNAcentral.